RNAcentral lists this long non-coding RNA (1034 nucleotides) under Marmota monax (woodchuck). The record is from RNAcentral. Lineage: Eukaryota; Metazoa; Chordata; Mammalia; Rodentia; Sciuridae.
AGGUGUCCCAUGUUCUCCAUUGCUCUCCUCCUGUGGGCACUGGCAUAACUGCCUCUUCCUGAGGAGGUGGUCCCUGUUCUAUACUCUUCUCCUUCUGUGGGCACCAGCACAACUGCCUUCUAUUCAUAAGGCCCUGGAAGUAACAGCUUCUCAAAAAGCCACUGGACUCACAUGGCAGGAUCUGAGGGGAGCUGGUUCCUGGGACCUUGGAGAGUGGAUGGUUAGCAGAGCUAGGGCCACUCCCUGAGAACUCUGAGCGUACUUAACAGCAGAGCUGAGCUGAUGGACACCUGUGGCUGCCCCACACUCUGUCUGUUAACACACAAGCAUAAUCUAACUCCGUGGUGACAAACAACAUAACACAAUAGCCACAGAGUCAGCUUUGUGAAAUGACACUCCAAAACUGUAGCAGAUGUCAAGUAAUUGACUCUCAGAAACCUUCUUGGGGGCAACCAUUUCCUACUGCCUGAAGGCCACUUUGAAAGGGGCCUCAGAUGGCAAAAAUGCAGCUGAUUGUCAAUACUUUUAUUUCUAAUUCAUGAUGCAAUCCAGAACCCCCAAGUGAUUUCCUCACAGGGUAACAUGUGAGAAGCCACAAGCUGCACUACAGGAAGACAUGGAGCUGGCUGUGCUAUUUGUUAUGACUGCAUCUGAAACACAAGAAUCCAGAAUCAAAGGCUGAACUUAAAAAUUUAAAUAGAAACAUGGAAGGGGAAGGGCUCACAGGAAAAUCUGCCAUCCACAUGGGGAAUGCCCUUGAUGAGAUGUCAGUAGAUCCAACACUGGAGAAGAGAAGGACACCCCAGGUCAAAACAUAGAGGAGGGGCAUUUCAACACACGAGGAGCACACCAGGCCAGCAAGUGCUACUCAAGUCACCCAACAUCUAGGCAACUAGUCUCCAAACAUAGGCGAGGACAGAGAGCAGGAAGGUUUGGCAUUGAAGUGUCCCCAGAUGUGAUGAGAGCAAAACCCCCAAAUCCAGGGAGUCAACAAAUCCCAACAGAAGAACAAUGAAGUAGAUGCAAGAAACACC